This 329-nucleotide unclassified non-coding RNA is filed under the name soil metagenome. Its description in RNAcentral is "partial contains 5.8S ribosomal RNA, internal transcribed spacer 2, and large subunit ribosomal RNA". The stretch from base 1 to 120 matches the Rfam family "5.8S ribosomal RNA", at positions 35 to 154 of the family's 154-position model. The record is from RNAcentral.
GAUGAAGAACGUAGCGAAAUGCGAUAAGUAAUGUGAAUUGCAGAAUUCAGUGAAUCAUCGAAUCUUUGAACGCACAUUGCGCCCCCUGGUAUUCCGGGGGGCAUGCCUGUCCGGGCGUCAUUACAACCCUCAAGCUCAGCUUGGUGUUGGGCCCCGCCGCCCCGGCGGGCCCUAAAGUCAGUGGCGGUGCCGUCCGGCUCCGAGCGUAGUAAUUCUUCUCGCUCUGGAGGUCCGGUCGUGUGCUCGCCAGCAACCCCCAAUUUUUUUCAGGUUGACCUCGGAUCAGGUAGGGAUACCCGCUGAACUUAAGCAUAUCAAUAAGCGGAGGA